UACGUAGGGGGCAAGCGUUGUCCGGAUUUAUUGGGCGUAAAGAGCGUGUAGGCGGCCACACAGGUCAGCUGUGAAAACUCGAGGCUCAACCUCGAGACGUCGGUUGAAACCGUAUGGCUAGAGUCCGGAAGAGGAGAGUGGAAUUCCCGGUGUAGCGGUGAAAUGCGCAGAUAUCGGGAAGAACACCCGUGGCGAAGGCGGCUACUCGUGGGACGGUACUGGACGCGUGAGACGGCGAAAGCGUGGGGAGCGAACAGG
RNAcentral lists this ribosomal RNA (258 nucleotides) under uncultured bacterium. RNAcentral describes it as "partial 16S ribosomal RNA". It matches the Rfam family "Bacterial small subunit ribosomal RNA", at positions 524 to 776 of the family's 1533-position model. The record is from RNAcentral.